AGUGAACGCUGGCGGUAGGCCUAACACAUGCGAGUCGAACGGCAGCACAGUAAGAGCUUGCUCUUACGGGUGGCGAGUGGCGGACGGGUGAGGAAUACAUCGGAAUCUACUUUUUCGUGGGGGAUAACGUAGGGAAACUUACGCUAAUACCGCAUACGACCUACGGGUGAAAGCAGGGGAUCUUCGGACCUUGCGCGAUUGAAUGAGCCGAUGUCGGAUUAGCUAGUUGGCGGGGUAAAGGCCCACCAAGGCGACGAUCCGUAGCUGGUCUGAGAGGAUGAUCAGCCACACUGGAACUGAGACACGGUCCAGACUCCUACGGGAGGCAGCAGUGGGGAAUAUUGGACAAUGGGCGCAAGCCUGAUCCAGCCAUACCGCGUGAGUGAAGAAGGCCUUCGGGUUGUAAAGCCCUUUUGUUGGGAAAGAAAAGCAGCAGGUUAAUACCCCGCUGUUCUGACGGUACCCAAAGAAUAAGCACCGGCUAACUUCGUG
RNAcentral lists this ribosomal RNA (492 nucleotides) under uncultured bacterium. Its description in RNAcentral is "partial 16S ribosomal RNA". It matches the Rfam family "Bacterial small subunit ribosomal RNA", at positions 29 to 507 of the family's 1533-position model. The record is from RNAcentral.